Molecule: ribosomal RNA, 504 nt
Filed under: uncultured Glomus
Lineage: Eukaryota; Fungi; Glomeromycota; Glomeromycetes; Glomerales; Glomeraceae
Description: SSU rRNA
Rfam family: Eukaryotic small subunit ribosomal RNA
Source: RNAcentral
AGCAGCCGCGGUAAUUCCAGCUCCAAUAGCGUAUAUUAAAGUUGUUGCAGUUAAAAAGCUCGUAGUUGAAUUUCGGGGUCAGUGAGUUGGUCGUGCCACUGGUAUGCACUGGCUUUACUGAUUCCUCCUUCUUGAAGAACUGUAAUGCUAUUAAUUUAGUGUUGCAGGGAAACAGGACUGUUACUUUGAAAAAUUAGAGUGUUUAAAGCAGGCUAACGCUUGAAUACAUUAGCAUGGAAUAAUGAAAUAGGACGUUUGAUCCUAUUUUGUUGGUUUCUAGGAUUGACGUAAUGAUUAAUAGGGAUAGUUGGGGGCAUUAGUAUUCAAUUGUCAGAGGUGAAAUUCUUGGAUUUAUUGAAGACUGACUACUGCGAAAGCAUUUGCCAAGGAUGUUUUCAUUAAUCAAGAACGAAAGUUAGGGGAUCGAAGACGAUCAGAUACCGUCGUAGUCUUAACCAUAAACUAUGCCGACUAGGGAUCGGAUGAUGUUAAUUUUUAAUGACU